This 773-nucleotide ribosomal RNA is filed under the name uncultured Neocallimastigales. RNAcentral's name for it is "partial large subunit ribosomal RNA". It matches the Rfam family "Eukaryotic large subunit ribosomal RNA", at positions 22 to 643 of the family's 3401-position model. The record is from RNAcentral. Lineage: Eukaryota; Fungi; Neocallimastigomycota; Neocallimastigomycetes; Neocallimastigales.
GUACACGCUGUGACUAGCAUAUCAAUAAGCGGAGGAAAAGAAACUAACAAGGAUUCCCCUAGUAACGGCGAGUGAAGCGGGAAGAGCUCAAAUUUGAAAUCUUAAAGGGUUUCCCUUUACGAAUUGUAGUUUAAAGAAGUGUUUUCUGUUGAGGUUUUGGUAAAAGUUCUUUGGAAUAGGACAUCAUAGAGGGUGAGGAUCCCGUAUUUGACCUUUACUUUCAACUUUGUGAUACACUUUCAAAGAGUCGGAUUGUUUGGGAAUGCAGUCCAAAAUGGGUGGUAAAUUUCAUCUAAAGCUAAAUAUUGGCGAGAGACCGAUAGCGAACAAGUACCGUGAGGGAAAGAUGAAAAGAACUUUGAAAAGAGAGUUAAACAGUACGUGAAAUUGUCAAAAGGGAAGCGUUUGACACCAGUGUUGUUUUUCUGAAAAUCAAUUAAAGAACUGUUUAUGCUAAGCUGUUUAGACUUUAUCAGCUAACUGUUUAGUUUUGAGCUUUUCUUUAAUGCACUUUUCAGUUAACAAGUCAACAUCAAUUUCUUUUGCUGUAAAAAAGCUUGAGGAAGGUGGCUUGAGAUUCGUCUUAAGUGUUUAUAGCCUCUUGCCUAUGCAGUCGGAGAGAUUGAGGUCUGCAGCGUAGAUCCUUCGGGGCUAAAUGCAUUUGUGCUAAGUUAUAGCAUUUUAUAGACAACUUGUUGACUAUGAUUUGUCUUGUAGCUUACUCGCUUAUGUUAUUUUACCUACGCUUAGGAUGUUGAGCGCAUGUCUUCUCU